GACUCUCGGCAACGGAUAUCUCGGCUCACGCAUCGAUGAAGAACGUAGCGAAAUGCGAUACUUGGUGUGAAUUGCAGAAUCCCGUGAACCAUCGAGUUUUUGAACGCAAGUUGCGCCCAAAGCCAUUCGGCCGAGGGCACGUCUGCCUGGGCGUCACGC
Molecule: ribosomal RNA, 159 nt
Filed under: Brunonia australis
Lineage: Eukaryota; Viridiplantae; Streptophyta; Magnoliopsida; Asterales; Goodeniaceae
Description: 5.8S ribosomal RNA
Rfam family: 5.8S ribosomal RNA
About the family: 5.8S ribosomal RNA (5.8S rRNA) is a component of the large subunit of the eukaryotic ribosome. It is transcribed by RNA polymerase I as part of the 45S precursor that also contains 18S and 28S rRNA.
Source: RNAcentral